GGACAGAUGGCCGAGCGGUCUAAGGCGCUGCACUCAAGUUGCAGUCAGCAAUUGGCGUGGGUUCGAAUCCCACUCUGUUCA
This 81-nucleotide transfer RNA is filed under the name Rhizoclosmatium globosum. It matches the Rfam family "tRNA". Rfam says of the family: Transfer RNA (tRNA) molecules are approximately 80 nucleotides in length. Their secondary structure includes four short double-helical elements and three loops (D, anti-codon, and T loops). Lineage: Eukaryota; Fungi; Chytridiomycota; Chytridiomycetes; Chytridiales; Chytriomycetaceae. The record is from Rfam by way of RNAcentral.